Molecule: small RNA, 2690 nt
Filed under: Oryza sativa Japonica Group (Japanese rice)
Lineage: Eukaryota; Viridiplantae; Streptophyta; Magnoliopsida; Poales; Poaceae
Description: sRNA Os12g0604000
Rfam family: MIR167 microRNA precursor family (bases 89-213)
Source: RNAcentral
AGUCUUCUCCAAUUAUUCGCCCAUCUCUCUCUCUCUUCUUCCUCCUCUCCUCCAUGAAAGCUAGGGAAAUUAACUAAGGGCAGUGGUGCACCACAAGUUGGUGAAGCUGCCAGCAUGAUCUGAUGAUGAUGAUGAUCCACCUCUCUCAUCUGUGUUCUUGAUUAAUUACGGAUCAAUCGAUCAGGUCAUGCUGUAGUUUCAUCUGCUGGUUGGGAGCACAGCAAAAAAAAACCCUAACUUUGUAGCCGGAUUUGCAUGGAUUAAUCUGCUAGGUAGCUCAUCAGAUUCUUUGAGAGUUUGCCUUGCUCUUCUGCAGAUGAAGACGUAAUCUUUGAACAGAUGGGAUUCUCAACUCUCAAGGUGAGGUAGUCAUCAAUCCAAUCCAUAUACCUGCUCAAAUUCAGUUUUAAUUAAAGACUAGCUGCUUCUAUGGAGUUAAUUAGGGAUCCUUUUUUAUAGAUCUCUCUUGAUCUGUUUCUUAGUCUGUUCUUUCUUAAUAAGGCAUAUAUACCUCUUGGAUUUGGAUUUUCUUGAAAAUUAAGGUAGUUUAUGAGUUGGAUGUGUUGUGUUAUCUGCCCAGCCUUAAUUUAACUGUGCUUCCUAAAAAUUCGUUUGAUUUGAUGGUAGCAUCUGAAUUGUGAACUCAUCUUUGGAGCUUGGACUUUAGACCAGGUGCCUUAAUUCCUUAACAUAAGAUUUGGUCCAUAUUGUUUAUGGAGCUUCUUAUCAAGAAAUACUCUUUUGAUUAGGGAGUCCCCUUGUCACUUUCUUCAGUUGUGCAGGUACAUAUGACAUAUCUGUAUUAAACUGAUGACAUUCAUAACCAACUGUCCAAGUAGGGAUUCAUAUCUUUCUACUAAUUGCAGAAUGUUUUCUUGGCUGAAGGAAGUUUAAUCUAACUGUUCAAGUUAGUUGCUUGGUUAGCUGAUAGUGAUCCCUGUGUUUUCUAGUUGUUGAUACUGCAUAUACAUAUAUCUGUGACAUAUGGCUAGUUCUUGUUUGUUGUGUGUAGAUAAGAUACAUACAAGAUUCUGAUCUCUGCAGCAAAAGAAACAAAGCUUCCUUUUUUCUCUUGUUUUAUCCCCUAAUAUAUCUCUUCUUUUGCAGUUCUAGCUAGCAAUUUCACUGUAAAACAUGUGUAUUACCGAUCAAUACUGGCAUAUAUCUGAACUUGAUGCAAUACAUGUGUAUUACUGAUCAAUACAUAAAACUGAAAAUGUGGAACAUAUCUGCUAAUUAUUUUCAUGAGUGUGGCUUUGAUUAUUGUGAUCUUGCCACUUGCCAGCAAUGAUGUUAGCUAGUGAUGGGAAUAUCACCUGACCAAAGGAGGGACAUGAUUAACCUUGCUAAUUAAGUAACAAGAAAAGGAGGAGGGGGCAAAAGAAUUAUGGAAUGGGUUUUCUUGACCUGAAGACAAGUAGUAAGAUUUGCUAAUGCUUGCUUGCAAGAUAUGCAUGCCUAACCACAAAACAAGGAGUUUGGCACUACAAAACUGAAUGAUGAUUGCCUCUUGCUUGAAGGAUGAAACUGCUGCCCAUCUUUUGAUCAUGGCACCCCCUUCGCAUAUGCAUGAUUGCCCACACUUUUCUCCUCUUUUGGGCUCUGUACUAUGGAGAUAUUCAAGCCAUUUUCUUGAGAUUUUCUCUGCAAUGUAAUGACCUGUUCUGUCCCUUGAUGUUUCACUUGCAAAGGAGACUGUACUACAGCAUCUCUCUCUCUAGUCUCUACCUCUCUUGAUGUUUCACUUGCAAAGGAGAUUGUACUACACCACCAUCUCUCUCUACCAAUCUCUCUCUCUCUCUCUCUAAUUAGUUGCAAGUUUUGUUGGCAUCUCUAACCACCUCUCCACACUCAUGGUCAUGGCCAUGGCUAGCACAUUUGUCACCUAGCUUGCAUUGCAUGGUCCUUUGGAAGAUUCAUGGGCCACACACACAUGGUGACAUUCAUGCAAAGCUCCAAGCAGGUCUCCUUUAUUGUGAUUUGGUCAGCUAGCUGGUUUGUUACAAGAUGCCCACAACCUUUGUCCUUUCAAUUCAAUGCAGUGUGCAGUGUGUGCCUGCAACUUUCAUAUACAUGUUGUACCAUCAUGUGUCCUCUUCCUGGCUUGCAAAAAUGUAAUGGCUAAUCACAUCCAUCAUGCUUGCAAAUUAAGCUAAUUAAUUAAUCACAGGUGGCUAGCUAAUUACCAACUGAUGAUGAUGAUUAGUGACAGGCAAAGAUGAUAAUCUAGAUAUCUUGUUCUUCUCACUACUGUCUUGUCAUUGUUGGCGUGGAGUGCAAUGCUGCCGUUUGUGUGGCUCCAGAAAGGUUGCCGGCUUUGCUGCCCUUCUCUCCAUGUUCUUGUCUGAAUCCUGAACAUUUUAACAACCGUGUCUUUUUCUCUUCUUCCUUUUCCUCUUUGCUGACAAGUUGAUGGUUUUGAGAUAUCUAUUGUUCUGCUUGUUUUUGUUUUUGCAUGUGAAGUCAUAUUCAGAUGGUUUGCAAGGAUUAGAAGUCAUGGGUGUACUGUGUGCAAAUUGAACUUGUCAGGAACAGUGACUGAAUUUUAUUGUUCAGGCUUUGCUUGUCUGAACUCAAGAAGAGGUAGAGCUAGGGUGUUAUUUUUUUUAUCUGAUUUAUGUGAUACAUAAUCAACUACCAUUCGUUUGACAGAACAAGAUUGAUAGGUGCAUGUUCAGAGAAGUUCCUUC